AGCGCGCCACUGCACGUCGCCAUGGUUCACCGUCGACGGUUGAGUCUUCGCUCGAUCAUCGCCUCGUGGCUCGAACGAACAGGGCCGCGUCCCAUUUUCUAAAGCUAAGUCCUACUCUCUUCUACUUCAGCUUCUAAUUGUUAAGGGGGUAGGGGUUCUCAUGGCUUUGGUUCUAUGUACAGUGGUAAUAUCUCAACGUAUGAAUCAUACUUUUUCCGUGAAAUGUCAUAAAUCAUGUAUUCGCAUAUGUGGGUUGCUAUGAGUCCUAUAGACAUGAAUACAACAGGAAAGUAACUGAUGCUAUUUGUUAUAGAGUAUGUAACUUUGCUAAGUUUAUCAAGCUUAUGGUCAUCUAUCAUUUGAAUCGGAUCAUGCUUAAUGGUAUGAAUGCAAACUGGAUUGAAUAUGUGGGACAGCAGUAAUACCUUGAGAAUAUUUGUGUUGGUUGCCUGUUGUGAUAUUGAUGAUUGAGAUGGGGAAUAACUGAAAUAUGAUGAAGGUGUUAUUGCUUUAAAAUGCAGGUGGAGGUUAUGGCAGGAGGUGGAAACGUUCAAGCCGAAGCUUACCUUGAGGAUUUGGCGGAAGUUGGGCAGCUCUGUCCCUCACGUUAAUGAAGUCUCAAUGAACUGAAACUUGUUCAGGUAUGGCAGCAGGAAGGUCGAGCAGCGGCUGUGAGUGAAAGAGGGAGUCCGUUGGCCGAAGGAAACUCGCCUGCUCUUCCGCGAACUCGUGUGUGAAGAAUGAAGGAAAUGGCGUGUUCUUGGCUGGAGUUGAAGCAAAUAGAAGGAGAUGUUGGCUGCAUACUUGAGUAUGCUAGAGACAAGGUAUAGGGUAGGGUGAAGGUGAUUGGAGAAGUGGGCGGCUGCUGGAGCAUGCUAAGGAGUAGGGGUAGGGUGUAGGGAAGGGAAUUGGUGAAGUGUGGCGGCUGGCAGCUGGGCUGUUUCAGCCCACACGCCCAAUCCCCCAUUUCUUUCUUCUUCUUCUCUUAUUUGCUUGUUGGCCGAGGGUUUGAAAGGAAAAGGAAUGGUGUUGCUUUGAUGUGUAAUACAUGGAAUAGGGUGAAUAAUUGAAGAUUUGGUGGAUCAAAGUAAAGCUCUUACCUCUUGGGAAUUCUAAACU
RNAcentral lists this long non-coding RNA (1119 nucleotides) under Salvia miltiorrhiza (redroot sage). RNAcentral describes it as "long non-coding RNA (SMIL_LNC004668)". Lineage: Eukaryota; Viridiplantae; Streptophyta; Magnoliopsida; Lamiales; Lamiaceae. The record is from RNAcentral.